GUGCCAGCCGCCGCGGUAAUACGGAGGGUGCAAGCGUUAAUCGGAAUUACUGGGCGUAAAGCGUGCGUAGGCGGCUUGAUAAGCCAGAUGUGAAAGCCCUGGGCUUAACCUGGGAACUGCAUUUGGAACUGUUAGGCUAGAGUUGAGUAGAGGUAAGUGGAAUUUCAGGUGUAGCGGUGAAAUGCGUAGAGAUCUGAAGGAACACCAGUGGCGAAGGCGACUUACUGGACUCAAACUGACGCUGAGGUACGAAAGCGUGGGUAGCAAACAGGAUUAGAUACCCCUGUAGUCC
Molecule: ribosomal RNA, 292 nt
Filed under: uncultured bacterium
Lineage: Bacteria
Description: partial 16S ribosomal RNA
Rfam family: Bacterial small subunit ribosomal RNA
Source: RNAcentral